This is a long non-coding RNA of Physeter macrocephalus (sperm whale), 1012 nucleotides long. RefSeq lists it as uncharacterized. The transcript is spliced from 3 exons. Lineage: Eukaryota; Metazoa; Chordata; Mammalia; Artiodactyla; Physeteridae. The record is from RefSeq and is a predicted model, not a curated record.
UGGAGGAGAGGAACCUUAGGGUCCGACGGAGGAAACCAGUAGUACGAGCUUUCCGCCCAAGGCCAUCUGCUUGGAGUUGCCCGACCGGAUCCAGCCAGAGUUAUCUGUGUAUUCUUUUGUUGGGCAAAGACUCGGUCCUCUUUCCCCACACCUGAAUCCGUGAAAUAAAGGAGCUCAAAAUCAAAUAAGCCUGUGAAUGCUAACAGACCGUUUGAGUGACGGGUACUUGGCUAGGGCAGCUGGAGUCCUCACUGACUGACACACCAGAUCACCUGUUCAGUGCUGCCCAGAGGAGCACCAUCGGGGAUAACAACUUUGUUCCCUUGCCUUUAGCUUCUGAACUUGCAGGCCCGAACCAUUAGCCAUUCUCUUCUGCUCCCGACGUUGCUCUGUGUUGGCUUGCCGCCCAAAGUCAAUCUCUGACUCAGUCCCUCUACAAAGGUAAGCUGUCUUACAUCGGGAACUUACUGCCCAGUUGUCCACUUAAUCACCUUUUGUUGAUGCCAUUGUAUAGUCAACACAGUGAGUGGUCUAGACAUUUGUCGUUGGCUUCGCCUUGUAGACAUUCUUAAUUUGCAUUCAUCAAAUAUAUGAGAGCUUAUUCUGUGCUGGAGAAUGUCCUGAGUAUAUAACAAUUUUUAAGAAUGGAAUGGUCCCUGCCUUCAUGGAGAAAAUAGUCUAGCAGGACAAACAAAUUCAGUAGACAGUUGAAAUCCAGAAUGGUCCUUUAGUUAUGUAUUGCAGCAUAGCAAACUCUCCAAAAUUUAGUGGCUUAAAACAAUCAUUUUAUUAUCUCUUGCAGUUCUGUGAACUGACUGGGCUCAGCUGGGCAAUUCUGCUCAUCUCACUUGGGGUCUGUCAUGAGGUGGCAGUCAGAUGGCAGCUGGGGCUGGAGUCAUAUGAAGGCUCAACUAGGCCUCUUUCUUUCUCCGUGUAGUCCCAGGGCCUCUCCAUCUGGGUAGCUGAACUUCUUAAAUAGUGGCUCAGAGCUUCUAAAAGUACAAAAGCGGAA